Molecule: small RNA, 146 nt
Filed under: Flavobacterium dankookense
Lineage: Bacteria; Pseudomonadati; Bacteroidota; Flavobacteriia; Flavobacteriales; Flavobacteriaceae
Description: Flavobacterium sp. ARSA-19 Flavo-1 RNA
Rfam family: Flavo-1 RNA
Source: Rfam by way of RNAcentral
GUCUAGCCCUGAUUGCAAUGGAAAGCUUUUUGUAAAAGAAAACUAGUUUUUUGUUUCUAAAAAAAAAGCGACCAACGGAAGCUCUUUUUUUUGAUUACAAAAACAGUUUUCUUUGCAAAAACUUGUAAUGAAAAGCAGGGUUAGCU